RNAcentral lists this small RNA (27 nucleotides) under Bombyx mori (domestic silkworm). RNAcentral's name for it is "ovarian small RNA-13053". The record is from RNAcentral. Lineage: Eukaryota; Metazoa; Arthropoda; Insecta; Lepidoptera; Bombycidae.
CACUCCUCUACCGAGUCUAUCACUCCU